UCUGGCUUUAUCUCCUUGUAGGGGAUCCAUUGGUGGAAAGCAUUUCCCUUGAACUGCCUGAAGCUGUUGUGAAGGAUUCUGCCCAUGCCACCAUUUCUGCUGUUGGAGAUAUUUUAGGCAUCUCACUGCAACAUUUAGAGGGACUGAUUCAGCUACCCCUUGGCUGUGGUGAACAAAAUAUGAUCAAAUUUGUACCCAACAUUCUUGCGCUCCAGUACUUGGAGAAGACCAACCAGGCAACUCCUGAGACCAAACACUUGGUGAAAAAUUUAAUGAAAAUGGGUUACCAGCGUCAGCUGCUCUACAAGCAUGAUAAUGGUUCCUACAGUGCCUUUGGGAAGCGUGAUACUGAAGGGAAUACAUGGUGAGUAAGCAGACCAAGUG
Non-coding RNA from Pogona vitticeps (central bearded dragon), 384 nucleotides. The record is from RefSeq and is a predicted model, not a curated record. Lineage: Eukaryota; Metazoa; Chordata; Lepidosauria; Squamata; Agamidae.